GGCUACCUGGCGCAAUGGUAGCGCGUUUGGCUUCGAUUGCUAAGCGGCACCAAAAGGUUGCAGGUUCGAGUCCUGCGGUGGUCA
Molecule: transfer RNA, 84 nt
Organism: Termitomyces sp. J132
Lineage: Eukaryota; Fungi; Basidiomycota; Agaricomycetes; Agaricales; Lyophyllaceae
Rfam family: tRNA
About the family: Transfer RNA (tRNA) molecules are approximately 80 nucleotides in length. Their secondary structure includes four short double-helical elements and three loops (D, anti-codon, and T loops).
Source: Rfam